This is a long non-coding RNA of Bufo bufo (common toad), 832 nucleotides long. RefSeq lists it as uncharacterized. Lineage: Eukaryota; Metazoa; Chordata; Amphibia; Anura; Bufonidae. The record is from RefSeq and is a predicted model, not a curated record. The transcript is spliced from 3 exons.
AUCUGCCUCUUUUUCUCUUCUAUGUCUUCUCCAGGGCAGUCUGUGUCUUCACCAGCCAAUAAGCCAUUGUGUUCCGCACCCUGGCUUCUGAACAAAAAGGCCCUGAUGGCAACUCUCUGGGAGGCUCUGUCUGGGUGAAUAAAAGAUGAACUUGUGGAUCAUGAUGCUCCAUCCACACUCGCUGACUGGAUUUCCCUAGCUACCAGCAAUGACCUCCGAUUCAGGGAGCAUGCCAACGAGUUUAUAUGCAAGUCCUCAUAGGUUGUCCUUUCAAAGACUCCUAACUUCUCGAGUUCCAGUACAGGAACCCAUGCAGGUGGACUGUGUCAGGCUGUCAGAAAAGGAGCGUCAGCACAGAAGCACUAAUCACCUAAGCAUGUAUAGUGGAGCCAAGGGACAAUGUAUUUGAUACUGUGUCACAUAAAAGUUGGGGCACUAAACAAAAGGAUCCAAGAUUACAAAAUCAUCACUGAGGGUCUUUGUCUGCCUCAAAAACUUUCCAAAGUAGAAAACUCCAAUGCCUAGAUAACGUCACCAGCCGCUUCGAUCAGGUGUUUUGGUUUGGGGAUCUCAAUUUUCAACUGAAAGAUUACCGAAAACUGUGGAAUCUCUUCUGCAGAAGAUCGAAGGAAAAUAUAUGUCCAGUCUCCUGAAGCAUGACCAACUGAAUGAAGCCAAGAGCAAUGGUAUGUUUACCAGGGAACAAAUCUGUCACUCCUCUUAAUGUUAGGUAUACAAAAAUGAGGUUUUGGCAGCACCACUGAUCCCAGUUUCGGGGAAGACAUUAGAAGUACCUUUAUAGGUGGUGGUGCACGCAAAUGGGGAUCCUGGC